This 474-nucleotide ribosomal RNA is filed under the name Galba truncatula. RNAcentral's name for it is "partial 16S ribosomal RNA". It matches the Rfam family "Bacterial large subunit ribosomal RNA", at positions 1795 to 2621 of the family's 2925-position model. The record is from RNAcentral. Lineage: Eukaryota; Metazoa; Mollusca; Gastropoda; Lymnaeidae.
UUCGCCUGUUUUUUUUAAAAACAUAGCUUGAAGAUUUAUUUUAGGUAAAUUCUGCCCAGCGUAAAUAUUAGCGGCCGCAGUACCUUGACUGUGCUAAGGUAGCAUAAUCAAUUGGCUUUUAAUUGAAGUCUGGAAUGAACGGAUAAAUGAGGACUUGCUGUCUCUUAAUAAUUAUUUUGAAAUUAUUUAUUAAGUGAAAAUACUUAUAACUAGAAAAAAGACGAGAAGACCCUUAGAAUUUUUAAUAAAAUAUAGAUUAAUAUUAUUUUUUUGUUGGGGCGACAUUGAAACAAUUAAACUUUCUUUAUAUUCAUGACAUUUAAAUUUGAAAGAAUAAAUUACCUUAGGGAUAACAGCAUAAUUAAUUAAUUAGUUUGUGACCUCGAUGUUGGACUAGGAACUAAUUGACUAACAGUCAAAAUAGAUUGUUCUGUUCGAACAGAAAUUCCUACGUGAUCUGAUUACAGACCGGAA